Molecule: long non-coding RNA, 6256 nt
Filed under: Pan troglodytes (chimpanzee)
Lineage: Eukaryota; Metazoa; Chordata; Mammalia; Primates; Hominidae
Description: long non-coding RNA NONPTRT009524
Source: RNAcentral
UUUGCAUAAAACAGACCCAAUCCCUUUGUGGGUCAGAUGUUACCACCUUUAAAAAAAUGUUUUUUAACUCUCCUUUCUGUCCCACUGAAAAAUUUAUUUUGAAAGGGUUAAGAAGAGUCUAUCAUUGCUGGUCAAAAUCGGCCUGAGGAUGGCCGCCAGGGGCAGAGGCCUGAAGGCAUCAUCUGGGCAGGCCUGGAAGCCCACGGGGUGCAGCAUCCUCAAGCCCAGGGGCGGGAGUGCCUCCGGCCUGCCCUCCAGGGAAGCUGCAUGUGGACUCCACGGUAUUCAGCCUCCAGUUUAGUCAGCCUUGAGUCUGGGCUGCUCCCGCGCCUGGUGUUUUAUGCAUGUGAUAUAUGUGUAUCCAUCCUGCUUCCCUGCCUUCAAGGGAAGACUUAACUCUCCGAGAGAAAACCUGCCUGGAGCUGCGCACAUUCUCACAGCUUGAGAACGCUUGACGCAGGAAGUCACCAGAGUACUCAAGUCAACCGCAAACUAGUGGUUACAAAAUGGGAGCUUUAAAAAAAGUGCUCUACUAGAACUGGGUGUCCUCACAGUCGGGAGCAGAAGGCUGGGGCUGCUGUGCAGGCCUGCGGCUCUGUGGCGCCUCUCUGCAAAGGCUCGGGUCCGCCUUCCAGACUGCAGGCUGCCGUGUGUGCUGUGGAGGAUGCCACAGUGUUAAGGCUGACCAGGACCAGAAGGUGACACUGGGCUCUCCUGCUACGUCUCGCCACUUAUAGCAGAUCCCUAGGCCACACUCCUUCCAAGCCACUUUGCAAACUGUUUCCCUGUUGUGGGGCCAGCAGGAGCUACAAGGGCCGAAGGCAGCUCUGCCGGGGCUGGACCGGUUUUGUGGCAUUCGAGGAGAGGUCUGGGAAAGGCCACGCAGGCAGUGAAGGUCUUUUCCCACGUCCAAUUUUACGGGACGACUGGGGUUUGAAGAUGGAAUCUAGAAACCCUCCUCUCCCCUUUUUUAAGUAAAGAGAAAAGAAAAGGAGACCUUUGCCUCACGUGAGAACAGGUGGAGAAUCAGCGCUGUGGCGGCCACUAGCGGCGUUAUCUCCCGGAUGUGCAUGGGAGAGAGAUGGCAGCUUCUGGACAGACAAGGAUGACACAGGUUCUUUGCUCCUUUGCAGCUGGGAUGAAUGUUCAAGUUGAGGCACAGUGUGGUCAGCGCAGCCACUCAGCCUGCUCCACUGCGGGACACCUUGGAGGGGCCAGGCCUCUGCUCCCAGCUGGCCCCAGCCCACGGAGGCGGCAGGCGGCUGGAGCGCCCUGGCAGGCGGGUCUGGUCCGGAUGGCUCCUCACUGGGCUAUGCGCUAACUGCUUUGAUGGACAAGCACCCCACCCCGAUUAGCUCAAUGGCUUGAUGAGCUGUACACAGCCAGGCUGGUGCGGAACCGUGAGAAAGGAACGGUUUGGCUAUAGGAGCUAGUGAUUCGGGGCUCGCCCUUUACGUCCCCAUGAAGAUCCGGCACAAGGCAGGUGCCCGUCGCCUUCGGAAGGAAGGGCGGGAGUCGCUGAUCUGCUUGAGAGGCGCCAGCCUGCAUCCCAGCAUCCACUGCAGCACUCACGUUUCCGUCUGGGUGAAUCUUAGGCUGGGAGGAGGGAAUUCUCACCAGCCACAUGAUUCCAGGGUCCCACCUUGCACCCUCUUGGCCUGUGUGGAUGAGGGCCCAUGCUGAAACCUUCUUUAACAUAUGUGCGAAGGAAGGUGAUGCCCUGGCCCCCAAACUGAGACAAGGGCGAGUUCUGCAGAGCCGGAAUUCUCAUUGGGAGGGUGAGAGUGGCAGCUCUGCUGUUGGCCUGGCCCAAAACAGAACGGAAAUGCACCCUCAUCACGAGUGGUCCAGAUGGUCUAGCGCCAGGGUGAGGCAGGCACCGGGUGGAGGAGGGGACAGAAAGCUGUGAGGAGGACCCACGCAGGGGUUCUGGGCAGCUCCCUGAUGCCAGCCAGGCCAGUGAUACGAAGAGAAAGGCUAAUAAAUAGAUGCACGUGACGAGCGCCGGGCAGCCCCGGACCAGGUCGCGUAGGACGCACCAGAUGCCGCUGUGGCUCCCGCACCCGGGCGCAGGUGAUCAGUUCCUCUAGUAAAGAUAUACAAACGAAGUUACUUCUUUUCAAGUAUUAAAAAAUAAGUUAAUUGACAAAAAGGGUUUGAAGCGGCUGAGCGUCUUGCCAGGUUGUCAGCUUCAUUUCAAUGUGCAAACACAGGAAAAACACGGAGGAAAAGGUCAUCUCCUGUCCCGACAUAAAUGUGGAACAGGGACAAUGCCUGUCUGCCAACUGGGGGCUUAGAAUGUAGGGCCUCAUCCUGUCCCCCAAAGUCAGCAUUUUCCAGUGUCAAAAUGGUUGUGAACUACAAGCAAAAUGCAGCAACCCACAAGCCUCAGGCCACAGCCAGCAAGCGGCCCAGGCAUUUGGCCACUUAGGGUCCAGUGUGUGGUGUUCGGCUGGAGGGCAGACCCCUCCUGCGUCCUCCUAAUUUGCAUAAUAAUUCAGGAGCCUGCCCGCACCUCCAUGUCUCCUGUGAUGCUGGGGUGGGCAUGACUGGACGCCCCCAUCCUGGGUCUCGAUCGCACCCUGACCCCUGACCCUGCUUUCAUGGGGUAUUGUUUACGUUUCUUUGGUGGUGCUCCAGGGAGCAUGAAGAAGACAGUGCCCCUCGCACGGCGCACUGUGGUUCUGACGGGGAGCAGCUUCCCUCUCUUACCAAAUGUGCCAGUGGAAAAAAGGGGCACAGCCAGCACAUCCUCAGGGAGCGCGCGGGGUGGUCCCCUGCGUCAUGCCAUACACGCCGUGCUCCUCCUCUGAGUGGGAGGUCCAGGUGGGCCUCCUCCCAGGAGGUGGAGCCGUCUCAGAUAACCACUGUCACCUGGGGCUCCCCACUGCACGCGGGACUCGACCACUUUCCAAGCAGCACACGGGCAUCUGAGCAUAAACUCCAAGGAGGUGCCAGGCCUCCUCAGAUCGAGGCUCCGGGUGGUUUGGAUGCCACUGCCUGGCCAGGCGGAUGCCAACAGAAAAUGGAGCGUUGGGUGGGAGCUCAGGACCAGUUAAGGCUGAAGCCCUUGGACAACAUGGCAGCCUCCAGGUCCUUGUCCUCCUCUCUCUCCCGGAGCCGCUGCUCCUCCAGCAGCGCCACCAGUGAGUCUCUCUGCUCCACCACCUCCAGCAUCUCAUUGAGAAUCUGCUUCUCUUCUGACAGCUCCUCCUCAGUCUUAAGGUGAUCUUGAAGGAGAAGAAGGCAUGAGGUGAGGGGCCUGGAGGUGGCACCCACCCUGGCCUCCAUGGGUGCCUUACCCCACUCACCUUCCACUGCCAUGCGUUCCCGGAGCUCCUGCUGCAGUCGACUCUGCCGGUCUUCCAGCUCCAGCUCCCGGGCACUGAGGAGGCAGGGCAGGAGGGAGACAAGCCACAGUGAUUGGGGACCACCCCUCACCCCCAAAUCCGGAAGGACCUCCAUGCCUGCUGUGACAAGCAUAGCGCCGACGCCCCCUACCCAAGGCCACUCACAAGAUCAUCAGCUCCGACUCGUAGCGCACCAUGGCGUUCUUCUCCUGCACUAGCUUGAACCACUCCUGCAUCAGCUUGGGGUCGUCCUUCUUGCCCAUGCCUGCCGAGAGAACGCUUGUGUCGGGUGCAGGGAGUGCCGCGCCCACCCUGGCCCGCAGGAAUCACACGGGGCAAAUGUGCAAAGAGGGCCGAGCAAGAUGCUGCCGGAACUUCCACUCCCAAGCCAGGCCCAAGGUUUGCCUGCAGCCAUAGGGCCCUGGCGUCCCCCUUCCCGGGGCCUGCGCUUUCCCGUGUCCUGCCAUCCCUGUUCACCCCGUCUGCAACCUCGCCAGUGGGGACCUUGCCCUCCCCGGGGCUGGUUUCUACCCCUCCUGCUCUGUGUGCUCUCUUAGGAUGACUUACAUUGCUUUCCCUCUUUUUUGCCACUCAAUGUUUAUUUGGCACUUGCUAUGUACUAGGUCUCCUUGGAGGAAACCCGUCUUGUAAACGAGACAAAUGUGAAUUUGUAAACUGCACCCUGCCCUCAGGUCAUGCUCAUUUAACUCAGCUCUUUCUUGGGCUACUGCCCCUCUCCAGGGGCCACCAGAAUAGAUGCCUUGUCAUUUGUUUACCUCCUGACCAGGAAGAGAAGACACCACCCCUUAACUUGUGGCCUAUCAAGCUUCUGGAUGCUCUCCCGCUGGAUCCCGCAAGGUCGAUGCAGGGCAUCUCAGGAUGGCCGCAGGGUUUCUCACCAAGAGCAGAGAAACACUAGCAGCCCCUGGGGAUGGAAGGAGGUGGCCACGCCCUGCCCUGGUCCAAUCCAACAGAAUGCCUGUGUCUGGUGGCUGCCUGCUAGCUCAGGCUGCCUGAACCAACAGGUGCCGAUACCAAACCUCCCCCAGGGACGGCCUGACCGCUGGGCCUCACUGUGGCAGGAGGACAGAAGGAAGAAGUCUCCAAGGGACCAAGCCACCCAAGGAGAGAAUAAGGUCCUUUUCCUUGGAGCACAGAAGUUCAUGGCAAAAGUGUGGUCCUGCCUAAAAUACAUGCUGUGUCAGUGGCUCUUCAAUAUUUUUGGAUUACAAACCACUUUGAGAAUCUCAUAAAAGCUAGGUACUCUCUUCCUAGAAAAAUGCUUAUGUGUGCAGAGCAAACCAUUUGAUGCAGAGUUCCAAGCUGCUCCUGGGCUUCCUGGGGUCCAUCCAUGGGCCUCAGGUUAAGGGGCACUAGACGGGGACAUCUUUCAGAGGCCCUUGCACUCUCUGCGUCCCUUGGCAGGGGGCGUUCUAGGCCAGUUAAGACAAGCCCAGGAGUGUGAGGAACACAGCCUCAGAAGGGCCAGCCACAGCCCGAGUCCUCCCUCACUGCUAGCUGCCUUUCUCCACCUGCCUUUCUGGCAUACGGUACACAGACACAUCUCUUAUCUGCAGUGGUGUCUGCUAGACAGUUAGUCUCUACCCAGUGGCCACACCAAGGAGGCAGAAAUGCACCAUGUUCAACAAGCAGGGGUUAGUGUCUGUACUGUGCCCUAGUGCACAUGCGGUUCUGCUCCCAAGGGGGUUCCUGCCCCUGAGCCUCCUCUGAAGGACGGAAACCCCCCAGCCUGUCCAGCCUGCAACUGUGGAGUGUGUGCCUGAGGGUCAGGGGACCAGCGCUCUCCUCACCCAAUCCAAUAGGCUUGGGUCUUGGCCUUUAAGCCAGCCCCCACUCAGUUCCAUGCAUUGCUUUCGGAGCGUCUCUGCACAAUGUGCCCACAUGGCCGUGGAGGAGGGGCCCGAGGCAUGCAAGCUGUCCAGUGCGCCCGAACACAGCGGCACCAGGGAGUCUCUCCCGCUGCCCACCUCCCCACGAAGAUACAGAAAAUGCCACCGGAGACGUGCGGACAGCGCUCACUAGCUAUGGAGAGCUCGCCCACGGCCGCCGGGCAGGGGCUGUGGUGUGUGAGCGAGAGUCGGGUGAGCGCUGUGGACGGCAGGUAAGAGUUAGCAGGGUUAGUCACGGCCACACCCCCCACAUGCCUUUCAACGACAAUCUUAUCACCACAACAGACUUCAAAUCAGACAAACUUAAAACACACACACUCAGCAAGACACGAGAUAGAGAGGUUUGCUUUCAGUGGUUGUUUGGAAAGGGGCCCGAGGGCACUGGUGUAGAUCAGUCUUUGUAAGGACAGUAUUCCUUGACUCUCCCAUCCAAAUUGCUGCACGCAGGCGGGAGGCUCCUCACCUGCAUCCCUGCCCCUCUAUCUGAUGGAUCUGAGACUUAAAGCCCCAGCCACGAAGGGCCAGCCAAUGCUGCAGCCCUGAAGGACCCAGACCUGGAGGCUCUCUGGCUUUACUCUGCACCCUGGUCCUCCCCAUAGACAGUCAAAGGGAUACUGUACCUUUAGAAACUGCCACAGACUCAUGACAUUUUGUAACAGGACUAUUGAGGGUCAGAGAGAAAGAAAGAGAGAGAGGUAGGUGGGUUCUGGCUCUGUGUUUGACUAGUGUUGCUACACCCCCUCCGAGGCAGUGGGGAUGGGGUUGGCGAGGUUACGUUACCUUCCUGGACACAGCAAGGGCAGAAGGAGAGAGGUCUACGUCGUGGAGUCCCGCCACUGGGCUCAACUUCAAAAGGGACCAAGCAAGGAAGAGGAGGAGACGGAGAAAGACAAAAAAGGAAGAGGAGGAGAGGAGCAGGAAUUUGGAAGUGGAGAGGGACAGGGAGAAGCAGAAACAAGGGAAACAAAGUCUACAAAUGAAUUAAGUCCUUUUUUC